RNAcentral lists this ribosomal RNA (354 nucleotides) under uncultured bacterium. RNAcentral describes it as "bacterial SSU rRNA". It matches the Rfam family "Bacterial small subunit ribosomal RNA", at positions 8 to 350 of the family's 1533-position model. The record is from RNAcentral.
AGAGUUUGAUCCUGGCUCAGGAUGAACGCUAGCUACAGGCUUAACACAUGCAAGUCGAGGGGAAACGACAUCGAAAGCUUGCUUUUGAUGGGCGUCGACCGGCGCACGGGUGAGUAACGCGUAUCCAACCUGCCCACCACUUGGGGAUAACCUUGCGAAAGUAAGACUAACACCCAAUGACGUCUCUAGAAGACAUCUGAAGGAGAUUAAAGAUUUAUCGGUGAUGGAUGGGGAUGCGUCUGAUUAGCUUGUUGGCGGGGUAACGGCCACCAAGGCGACGAUCAGUAGGGGUUCUGAGAGGAAGGUCCCCCACGAUUGGAACUGAGACACGGUCCAAAAUCCGUACGGGAGGCA